GACGAACGCUGGCGGCGUGCUUAACACAUGCAAGUCGAACGGAAAGGCUCCAGCUUGCUGGAGUACUCGAGUGGCGAACGGGUGAGUAACACGUGGGUAAUCUGCCCUGCACUCUGGGAUAAGCCUGGGAAACUGGGUCUAAUACUGGAUAUGACCUUUCUCCUUAUGGGGUUUGGUGGAAAGUUUUUCGGUGUAGGAUGAGCCCGCGGCCUAUCAGCUUGUUGGUGGGGUGAUGGCCUACCAAGGCGACGACGGGUAGCCGGCCUGAGAGGGUGAUCGGCCACAUUGGGACUGAGAUACGGACCAGACUCCUACGGGAGGCAGCAGUGGGGAAUAUUGCACAAUGGGCGGAAGCCUGAUGCAGCGACGCCGCGUGAGGGAUGACGGCCUUCGGGUUGUAAACCUCUUUCAGCAGGGACGAAGCGUAAGUGACGGUACCUGCAGAAGAAGCACCGGCUAACUAUGUG
RNAcentral lists this ribosomal RNA (467 nucleotides) under uncultured bacterium. RNAcentral describes it as "partial 16S ribosomal RNA". It matches the Rfam family "Bacterial small subunit ribosomal RNA", at positions 28 to 507 of the family's 1533-position model. The record is from RNAcentral.